RNAcentral lists this ribosomal RNA (255 nucleotides) under uncultured bacterium. RNAcentral's name for it is "partial 16S ribosomal RNA". It matches the Rfam family "Bacterial small subunit ribosomal RNA", at positions 524 to 778 of the family's 1533-position model. The record is from RNAcentral.
GACAGAGGGUGCAAACGUUGUUCGGAAUUACUGGGCGUAAAGCGUGUGUAGGCUGCUCUGCAAGUCGGAUGUGAAAGCCCUGGGCUCAACCUAGGAAGUGCAUUCGAAACUGCAGAGCUCGAGUCCUGGAGAGGAAGGCGGAAUUCUCGGUGUAGAGGUGAAAUUCGUAGAUAUCGAGAGGAACACCGGUGGCGAAGGCGGCCUUCUGGACAGUGACUGACGCUGAGACACGAAAGCGUGGGGAGCAAACAGGAU